RNAcentral lists this ribosomal RNA (468 nucleotides) under uncultured bacterium. RNAcentral describes it as "partial 16S ribosomal RNA". It matches the Rfam family "Bacterial small subunit ribosomal RNA", at positions 28 to 507 of the family's 1533-position model. The record is from RNAcentral.
GACGAACGCUGGCGGCGUGCUUAACACAUGCAAGUCGAACGGACAGGCCCUGCUUUUGUUGUUUGCUCGAUUGGCGAACGGGUGAGUAACACGUGAGUAACCUGCCCUUGUCUUUGGGAUAACUUCUGGAAACUCGGGCUCUUACCGGGUAUGAUCUCCUGCUGCAUGUUGUGGGUUGGAAAGUUUCGGCGGUUGUGGAUGGAAUCGCUGCUUAUCCGCUUGUUGGUGUGGUAGUGGCUUACCAAGGGUUUGACGGGUAGCCUGCCUGAGAGGGUGACCGGCGACAUGGGGACUGAGAUACGGACCAGAAUGCUACGGGAGGCAGUAGGGGGGAAUAUUGCAGAAUGGGCGGAAGCCUGAUGCAGAAACGCGGCGUGCGGGAUGACGGGCUUCGGGUGGUAAACCGAUUUGGCAGGAGAUGAAGAGUGAGUGACGGUAAUGGGUAAAGAAGCAACGGCUAACUACGUG